AUUGAACGCUGGCGGCAGGCCUAACACAUGCAAGUCGAACGAGUGGCGGACGGGUGAGUAGUGUCUGGGAAACUGCCUGAUGGAGGGGGAUAACUACUGGAAACGGUAGCUAAUACCGCAUACCAUCGGAUGUGCCCAGAUGGGAUUAGCUAGUAGGUGGGGUAAAGGCUUACCUAGGCGACGAUCCCUAGCUGGUCUGAGAGGUUGACCAGCCACAUUGGAACUGAGACACGGUCCAGAUUCCUACGGGAGCAAGAAGUGGGGAAUAUUGGACAUGGGGCGCAAGCCUGAUGCAGCCAUGCCGCGUGUAGGAAGAAGGCCUUCGGGUUGUAAAGUACUUUCAGCGGGGAGGCGUUACCCGCAGAAGAAGCACCGGCUAACUCCGUGCCAGCAGCCGCGGUAAUAC
This 406-nucleotide ribosomal RNA is filed under the name uncultured bacterium. Its description in RNAcentral is "partial 16S ribosomal RNA". It matches the Rfam family "Bacterial small subunit ribosomal RNA", at positions 30 to 526 of the family's 1533-position model. The record is from RNAcentral.